CCUAGAGGACGACCUCUAGGACGACCUCAACGACGACUUUGAGGACGACCUCA
Molecule: non-coding RNA, 53 nt
Filed under: Ixodes scapularis (black-legged tick)
Lineage: Eukaryota; Metazoa; Arthropoda; Arachnida; Ixodida; Ixodidae
Description: Guanidine-II sequence
Rfam family: Guanidine-II riboswitch aptamer (mini-ykkC)
About the family: Simpler in structure and has fewer highly conserved nucleotide positions than the ykkC-yxkD leader. Despite this each of its two stem-loop structures directly bind free guanidine. Therefore, mini-ykkC RNA motif represents a distinct class of guanidine-sensing RNAs.
Source: Rfam by way of RNAcentral